This 372-nucleotide ribosomal RNA is filed under the name uncultured organism. RNAcentral describes it as "bacterial SSU rRNA". It matches the Rfam family "Bacterial small subunit ribosomal RNA", at positions 526 to 896 of the family's 1533-position model. The record is from RNAcentral.
CGUAGGGUGCAAGCGUUAAUCGGAAUUACUGGGCGUAAAGCGUGCGCAGGCGGUGAUGUAAGACAGUUGUGAAAUCCCCGGGCUCGACCUGGGAACUGCAUCUGUGACUGCAUCGCUGGAGUGCGGCAGAGGGGGGAUGGAAUUCCGCGUGUAGCAGUGAAAUGCGUAGAUAUGCGGAGGAACACCGAUGGCGAAGGCAAUCCCCUGGGCCUGCACUGACGCUCAUGCACGAAAGCGUGGGGGAGCAAACAGGAUUAGAUACCCUGGUAGUCCACGCCCUAAACGAUGUCAACUGGUUGUUGGGUCUUCACUGACUCAGUAACGAAGCUAACGCGUGAAGUUGACCGCCUGGGGAGUACGGCCGCAAGGUUG